CGCGGCCUAUCAGCUUGUUGGUGGGGUAAUGGCCUACCAAGGCGACGACGGGUAGCCGGCCUGAGAGGGCGACCGGCCACACUGGGACUGAGACACGGCCCAGACUCCUACGGGAGGCAGCAGUGGGGAAUAUUGGGCAAUGGAGGAAACUCUGACCCAGCGACGCCGCGUGAGGGAUGAAGGCCUUCGGGUUGUAAACCUCUUUCAGCAGGGAAUAAGCGAAAGUGAAGGUACCUGCAGAAGAAGCACCGGCUAACUAUGUGCCAGCAGCCGCGGUAAUACAUAGGGUGCAAGCGUUGUCCGGAAUUAUUGGGCGUAAAGAGCUCGUAGGUGGUCGAUCACGUCGGAUGUGAAAGCCCGAGGCUUAACCUCGGUUCUGCAUUCGAUACGGGCUAGCUAGAGUGUGGUAGGGGAGAUCGGAAUUCCUGGUGUAGCGGUGAAAUGCGCAGAUAUCAGGAGGAACACCGGUGGCGAAGGCGGAUCUCUGGGCCAUUACUGACGCUGAGGAGCGAAAGCGUGGGGAGCGAACAGGAUUAGAUACCCUGGUAGUCCACGCCGUAAACGUUGGGAACUAGGUGUUGGCGACAUUCCACGUCGUCGGUGCCGCAGCUAACGCAUUAAGUUCCCCGCCUGGGGAGUACGG
This 643-nucleotide ribosomal RNA is filed under the name uncultured Actinomycetes bacterium. RNAcentral's name for it is "bacterial SSU rRNA". It matches the Rfam family "Bacterial small subunit ribosomal RNA", at positions 232 to 885 of the family's 1533-position model. The record is from RNAcentral. Lineage: Bacteria; Bacillati; Actinomycetota; Actinomycetes.